UUUUUGUGCGUCGUGCAUCUGCGUCUUUCGAUCUCUCGGGAAUUAGUAGAGCAUGCAUUCGAAAAGGCAACAACAACAAAAAAGUCGAGGAAGCAAAGGAAACCCCUCGCGCGCCUCGCAGCCCGAUAAUUACUUUUUUGCGAGCCGGAUUAACACACAUGAAGCACCUACGCUUAAGGGAUUGUGGACGGAUGAUAAUUAGGUUCGCCCACGGGAACACGAUUCAAGAGAGCGGCGUACUCAGACGUUUAUUGUAGGAAGAGCAGGCCGUCUCCAGUUUUUAUUUCGUGGCGCGGUAAUCCGAGUCGAGAUACAGGCGAAAGCUCCACGUUUGAAACGUGUUUUCGCGAACGAAACAACCAAGUUCACGCUAGAACGAUUCGGACACAUGUUUGGGCUCUCUGGAUGCCCACGGUAUAUGGCAUAAUGCGCGUGUUAUCUCACGACUUUAAACGAUGUUUAACCAUAAAUCAAAAAAAAAUCAAAAAAGAAAAUUAAGAUUCUACUUCUAUUGAUUCACC
This is a long non-coding RNA of Onthophagus taurus, 521 nucleotides long. RefSeq lists it as uncharacterized. Lineage: Eukaryota; Metazoa; Arthropoda; Insecta; Coleoptera; Scarabaeidae. The record is from RefSeq and is a predicted model, not a curated record.